This 650-nucleotide ribosomal RNA is filed under the name uncultured bacterium. RNAcentral's name for it is "bacterial SSU rRNA". It matches the Rfam family "Bacterial small subunit ribosomal RNA", at positions 48 to 691 of the family's 1533-position model. The record is from RNAcentral.
CUUACCAUGCAAGUCGAACGGCAGCACGGGAGCUUGCUCCUGGUGGCGAGUGGCGAACGGGUGAGUAAUAUAUNCGGAACGUACCCUAGAGUGGGGGAUAACGCAGCGAAAGUUGCGCUAAUACCGCAUACGAUCUACGGAUGAAAGUGGGGGAUCGCAAGACCUCAUGCUCAUGGAGCGGCCGAUAUCUGAUUAGCUAGUUGGUGGGGUAAAGGCCUACCAAGGCAUCGAUCAGUAGCUGGUCUGAGAGGACGACCAGCCACACUGGAACUGAGACACGGUCCAGACUCCUACGGGAGGCAGCAGUGGGGAAUUUUGGACAAUGGGGGCAACCCUGAUCCAGCAAUGCCGCGUGAGUGAAGAAGGCCUUCGGGUUGUAAAGCUCUUUUGUCAGGGAAGAAACGGUGAGGGCUAAUAUCCUUUGCUAAUGACGGUACCUGAAGAAUAAGCACCGGCUAACUACGUGCCAGCAGCCGCGGUAAUACGUAGGGUGCAAGCGUUAAUCGGAAUUACUGGGCGUAAAGCGUGCGCAGGCGGUUAUGUAAGUCAGAUGUGAAAUCCCCGGGCUCAACCUGGGAAUGGCAUUUGAGACUGCAUGGCUAGAGUGUGUCAGAGGGGGGUAGAAUUCCACGUGUAGCAGUGAAAUGCGU